AUGGCUAAUAAAAACGCCAACCAACCUGGGCAGGACAUGAUGGAGGAUAGUGUCUCAGAAGACAGUCCUCUGAAGGUCAGGACAGAUCAAGAACAAGAGGCUUCAGAGAAAAUGGAAACGAAAGAAACAAUUCCUGAAAAGAUGGUUUUUGGAGGUCCACUUCCAGGGAUUCUCGAUUUAGAGGAUGGCUGUCUUGUGUCAGCUGUCAGAGUCGAGGCGAGAUUCUCUGAUGAGGAGGACAGCGAAGAGGCCGAUGACAGUCCAAGUCCUACAGCAGAAUGUGAAGCUUCUUUACCAAGUGUGGACAGAACAUCAAACAGAAAUCCAGUUGAGAGCAAGAAUGAAAACCAAAGUGAUGAUGAUGAUUGGGAGGAGGAGGAUGAUGAAGAUGAGGAGCUGUUGAAAACUGAGAAGAACGUCUUAGAAGUGGAGACCUCUCAAGGGACAGCUACUGAAUGUGAUCCACAACUUCAAGAUGAAACCAAUGAUGUUCCUCUGCGACAAAAUAGAGGAAUAACUGGUCUUUGGUAUGUUCCUUCAGCAUCACCUAAGCCAAAGGCUAUAACUACUGCAGAUGAUGAUGAGGAUGAUUGGGAUGAUGUUGAGGAGGAAGAAGAAGUGCAAACAAAGAAGCCACUAAAUCUAUUUCUAACAUUGCUGGGACAGAAGGAACCAGAGAGCCCUGAGGUAUCUUGGGAGUCUGGCUCAGACAAAAUUGAUGGGACGCCUGAAGGAGAUAAGGAGUCAAACACGGAGAUGCCAAAAGCAGAAAAAGACCAACAUCAAGAGGCUUUGGUUCAGGACGACAACACUUCAAAAAGGGCAUCUUUAGAAUCUAUCGAGCACCUUUCCCAGAGUCCUUUACAUGAUGAACCUGGGUGUAUUGAUCAGGGUGAUGACAGUGGAGCUAUACCAGUGUCCAUGAUUGUUGGUCAAAGUGAUGAAGACCAAAGUAUAAGUCAAGAGCACGGCAGCCAAGUCAAGCAAAUGCAGUAUGACUUUGCAAGUGGCUCGGUCAAGGUUUCCGAAAUGGAUCAGAUCUCUGAUGUCUCUGACAAUGAGUCUCUGUCGGAAGAAUAUGAUGUAUGUUUUGAUGAUGCAGAUCAACCACAAGCUUCAAAUCUCUCCAAUAGUAGCCCAAAAUGUUCUGCCAUUUCAAGUUCAGCACAGUUUGAAAAACCAUUGAUGAGAUAUCUCUCAAAUAGCCCCAAACCAUUAAAUGCAAUGAGUCCCGUUUCAACAAGUCCUAGUCCCAAACACGCACCAAGUCCAAGGCAUCAACAUUCAACUGCAACAAGUCCACAAAACUCAAGUUCCUCAAGCCACUCACCAAGUCCCCAACAUUGUAGUCCAUCACCUUCAUCGAUUAACCAUCUGGAUCAAGACUCACAGGACAAGAACAAAUCUACAAAUCUAGAAUCUCCUCAACAUUCAAGCCCCGAUUCUCAAGUUGAGGAUGACCUUUCCGUAGAGUUCGCAGAUGAACCAGAACCAGCUCUUCAAGAAGAAAUCCCCUACACCGUCAUAGACGAAGUUGAUCUCACUUCUAAUUCUGAUGAAGAUGACGGUGAGGAGCAACUUGAGAAGUUGCAUGAACCGAACUCUGUAAAUAAAGCCGUAAUGGAAGAAAGAUGUUCAAAGCACGGAUCAUUACAGGUACUCGGGUGA
Molecule: long non-coding RNA, 1668 nt
Organism: Cyprinus carpio (common carp)
Lineage: Eukaryota; Metazoa; Chordata; Actinopteri; Cypriniformes; Cyprinidae
Source: Ensembl